Long non-coding RNA from Salmo salar (Atlantic salmon), 524 nucleotides. RefSeq lists it as uncharacterized. Lineage: Eukaryota; Metazoa; Chordata; Actinopteri; Salmoniformes; Salmonidae. The record is from RefSeq and is a predicted model, not a curated record.
UAGGUAGAAGUAUUGAGAUUGAGUUUAAAUCGUGACUUUUUGUGUUCAGUGACUGAACAGUGUCCCCCCUCUGUCUCUCUCCUUCCUUCCCCUCAUCUCUGAAUGGUAGCAAGGAGAGAGAGGUACCAUCGGCCCUGAUGGCAUUGUUGGACGAAAUGGACCCCCGGCGUCCCAGGCUCCAGAGGAGAGCCAGGUCCAGGCGGUGACCUGGGGGUCAAAGGUGGCUCUGGACCUAAAGGAGUGCCAGGUGCCCCUGGCCCUGGGCUGACAGAUGAGCAGGUAUUGCAGCUGUGUAAAGGAGUGGUGACAGCCCAGAUCUCCAAGUAUGCAGCUUCCAUCCGGGCCAAGUGUUCCCAAGGCUGCCCCAUCAACAACCGUACACUUAUUGGGCCGCCCGGAACCAGGGGACCAACUGGAAAAUCAGGCAAACCCGGUAAAGCGGGCAAAGCUGGAGUCAAAGGAGGCAGGGGCAUCCAAGGGGACACAGGAGUGGAUGGUCAGAAGGUGGCAGAGGGUGAAAGAGG